UACGGGGGGGGCAAGCGUUGUUCGGAAUUACUGGGCGUAAAGGGCCAGUAGGCGGCCAACUAAGUCGGAUGUGAAAUCCCCAGGCUUAACCUGGGAACUGCAUCCGAUACUGGAUGGCUUGAAUUCGGGAGAGGGAUGCGGAAUUCCAGGUGUAGCGGUGAAAUGCGUAGAUAUCUGGAGGAAUACCGGUGGCGAAGGCGGCAUCCUGGACCGACAUUGACGCUGAACGGCGAAAGCUAGGGGAGCAAACGGG
This 253-nucleotide ribosomal RNA is filed under the name uncultured bacterium. RNAcentral's name for it is "partial 16S ribosomal RNA". It matches the Rfam family "Bacterial small subunit ribosomal RNA", at positions 524 to 776 of the family's 1533-position model. The record is from RNAcentral.